GACGAACGCUGGCGGCGUGCUUAACACAUGCAAGUCGAACGGAAAGGCCCUGCUUUUGUGGGGUGCUCGAGUGGCGAACGGGUGAGUAACACGUGAGUAACCUGCCCUUGACUUUGGGAUAACUUCAGGAAACUGGGGCUAAUACCGGAUAGGAGCUCCUGCUGCAUGGUGGGGGUUGGAAAGUUUCGGCGGUUGGGGAGGGACUCGCGGCUUAUCAGCUUGUUGGUGGGGUAGUGGCUUACCAAGGCUUUGACGGGUAGCCGGCCUGAGAGGGUGACCGGCCACAUUGGGACUGAGAUACGGCCCAGACUCCUACGGGAGGCAGCAGGGGGGAAUAUUGCACAAUGGGCGGAAGCCUGAGGCAGCAACGCCGCGUGCGGGAUGACGGCCUUCGGGUUGUAAACCGCUUUCGCCUGUGACGAAGCGUGAGUGGCGGUAAUGGGUAAAGAAGCACCGGCUAACUACGUG
RNAcentral lists this ribosomal RNA (468 nucleotides) under uncultured bacterium. RNAcentral describes it as "partial 16S ribosomal RNA". It matches the Rfam family "Bacterial small subunit ribosomal RNA", at positions 28 to 507 of the family's 1533-position model. The record is from RNAcentral.